GUUUCCCGCAAGCAGACACAGGCCACUUUCCCUGUGUCUACUCACAAGCUCACCCAAGAAAGAGCCUAUGCCUUCGGGGCUCAUCUCCUCCCUGUCAUCUCUCUCCUCACAACUAAAAGGAAGGCCUAGAACAGCUCCACUCAGGGAAUGAGUGCAGGAGAAUCACCAGGACAUGGUGGGCCAAUGCAGAUUUGGAUUCAGUAGCUCCUGGGUGGUAGGACCUCACAGUCUGCAUCUCUACUAAACUCCAGCUCCUGGUGACCUUGAAUCUACUUUCUGCUGCUGAGAAUUUACCUAUUUUGGAUGCUUCAUGAGACGAUUCCUCUUAGCAAAAGGGCACUGUGUACCCUCCAAGGCUGGAAAUGAUAGGUUUUCGGCGAGGAGUGAAAAUAUUGUGCUGACAGCCCUUUGCCUGUGUAGAGCAGGGUUGUUUACUCGCGCUGGAGCACAGCUUUAUUGAAGCAGAGAGUCAUGGUCCCAUCAUCAGGGUUGCCUAGCAACCAGUCUACGCCACUCCACAGAGUUUCAGAAUGGGCUGGACCACAAGUACCCACUUUGGGGGAUUUCCAGUGACAGUCCUACUCUCACUCCAUCACAUCGCUUCUAAAAUCUGAGUCACAUGGUUCAAAUUUCACAGUACAAAGUGUGUUCUUCAGAUCUGGGGUUCUCUCCAAAAUGGAUAAUCAUUAUUGAUUUUGUAAUGCAAUGCCAAGACCAUCAGUAAGCCUGGACCCACGCCUUCAUCAAUCUACUGUCAGGGAUAGAUUGUGCAUUUUCUGUGUCCCAGUGGGUGCCCCCCCCCCAAAAUAGAGCAGACAAAGCCUGGCCUGCGAGGGUACUGGUUUAGUUCAACAAAUAUCCAUAGAAUGCCCACUUAGGCAAAAUGGCAUAGGGCAGAUUGCCAAAAUCAGGGUUGACUCGGCCUGGAGCCAUGAAGUGGGUCCAACAGGUCUCUGAACUGAGGCAGGAGGCCCCAGGAUCCCGAGGUGUGCUGUAAAGCCUUUGAUGACAGCAUCUUGUGCCUAACACCUGACCACAUCUGAGCCACUAGAGACAGUACCUGAUAAGGAUGCAGAUGCCUGGGCCCUACCUUCCAAAGUUCUGGCUCAGUAGGUCUGGGGGAAGACCAGUAAUCUUCAUUUUAACAAAGACCACUGACGGUUCUGAUGCAGGUGGUCCAAGGACCACACCUGGAGAAACUUCCACCUCUAGGAGCAUCUGGGUGGGGAAGACCAAAGCUGAAGUCCAUCCCCCAGAGGAUGAGAGAAAGGAAGGCUGCAGCUCAGGCAGCUCAGGGAGUCUGAGGCAGCAAACGAGCUCUGGACCUUGAAGUGGGGAGAGGAAGUCCUUUCACCUCAUCACAGUGCUCACAUCACCUCAGAAACCAGGUGGGACACACAGCUGUGACAGGAUACUGGAUCAUACCCCAAGAGAAAGGGGAGCUCCAAUGGAAAAGCCACCUGCAUCAUGAUGCUGCCUGUCACUUGACUGAGCGUUCCUGCUGCCCAGAAGCUCCUGUUGUCCUCCCAACUGACGGGAUGCUCUUGGACAGUGAUGCCAGCUGGAAUUAAGACUGGGUUUCCAAGGCCACUGUGACCACCAUGAUUAAUCAAUCCCUACUGCUAGGGCUCCAACAUGCCUCAGCCAGAAAGCUGUCAUCUCUUUCCUGGGAACAUUCCUUAAGAAAGAACCAUCAUGGGGUUGGAUGAAACUAAACUUGCAAAGAAGGUGAUGUGUAACCAAGUUGGAGUGUGGAGUGUGGGGUCAAAGAUGAUGGCAUUCUGUGUGGAUCCGCAGUGGUAGGAAUGGAGGUGAGGAGGAAGAAAUGAAUCCAGGAGGCAGCGUGACAGAAAACACAGACUUUGGUGACGACAUGUGAGAAGCUGUAAACUGAUAAGAAGAAAAGACGUCUCCAGCACGUUUGGGUUAGUGUCAUCAACCCAUGGAUCCUGCCCACAGCAAGACUUGGCCCAGUCACAACCCCCUUUCUAGCAAUGUGGAGAUAAAUGUCUUCAACAGAAAGGGUUGGGAAUCCCAUGUGACAGCCGAGCUCUGUUCUGCCUUUGACAGAGUCUGAUGCGAAGUGGAUCAUCUCAGGGAUGUGCCUUGCUGGCUUCACCCACCUGGAGCCUCAGGGGAAGUCUCAGGUGGGAGAUGUUAAUUUGAGAGGCCUGGGUAUAAAAGUAAUCCCAAGAUGUCACAAGAUAGAAUACUUUCUCUGAGGCACAAACAGGGAGAAAAACAAGAACAGAACCCCUUAGCAGGACACUCAUAAUAAGAAGAAUUAGGAAAAGAAAAGGGAACCCGGGGUGACACAAAACUGGGGGAGUCUGUUACCACAAGGUAGAUGGCUACCUCCAGUUGGACAAAUUUCCAUGGACCACCAUGCAAUUUCUGGAGAUGCCGCCUUUGAUCCCCUCUUCUCCCUUUGCUCCUCCCUCAUCUCCACACUCAAAGUGCACAUUAUUCAGAUGUCCAGCACGCCCCUAAAUCAACUUGACUUCUCUUGUUCCUUGGCAGAUUCAAGGACCAGCCUUCAUUGGAUUUGGGGUGGAAGCUACAUGCUUGUGUCAAGGGUUGUAAUCCCAAGUCUGGUCCUGUUUUCUGCAAACAAUAUCAUUGUAAACACAUUGAAUGUGUCUGAAUGGGAUUCACAUAACCUAUUCAAAGGUUAAUAUCACAAGACUGAUACUGAGCUGGAAGCUCUGAAAUGUACUUGUGCUCAGGGAAGAUAUUUGCUAAUGUUUGGCUUUAAUUUCCCCUGGAACUUGUACACAUCAGUGAGGCCUGGGGAUAAUGAAUAACAGCAUGGACAAUAAAUUUUAAAACAAACAAAAUAAAAACUCAAAGAACAUUAAUGCAGACCAGUGCUGGGAUAUGAUGUGUGUUACAAGAGAGUAAUGAUUACUCUUGGUGAGCAGAUUCUAUUAUCUGCUUCUUAGGAGCAAUAGGUGGCUGCCUCUUGAUUGUAUUAGUCCUGGAGUUAUAAAAUCCUCAGUCCUUUACAAUGCAAAAGUGACACAUGGGGCGAGUAAGCAGGUAAGAGAAGGAGCAAUUGGAGGAAGAGAAAUGAGAUCUGUGGCAGGGGCUAUUGGCUUUCCACUAAAACCCAUUCUCUACUUCUUGCUGGGCAAGAACUAGGCAGUAUUUACCAGCCCCUCUUGCAUUUGGGGUGGCCACAAACGAAUUCUGGCCAGUGGAGUGAGGGGCUUCUCAGACAGCAGCCUGCCCCUUCCACACUCCUGUUCCCCUUGCAGUGGCUCAAAGCCCUUGGGUGAUGAUGGAGCCAUAGCUGGAAGAAGCCUGGGUCCCUGGGUCCCCCGUGGAGCCUCCACGCGGGAAGGUGGUCUAGAAAUACACUUCCAUAUUUCAGCCAGCAUGCCUUGGGAUCUUUUUUUAAUGGUGGUUCAGCCUACCCUAACUAAAGCUGGGCCCACUCAGCACGCCCCACACAGGGAUUCUGAAAUGGGAGCAGGGUCCACCAAAACUCUGCUUUUCAGAGAGCUCACACCCUAGGGGAGUAUAAAAGUGACGAGGACACUGGAGCUGGCAGGCAAGACCCAGGAUGCCAAAAUUAGGGCCCCUAAACACAGCAGGGAGGGUGAGCUAUCCUCUUGUGAGGUGGGAGGAGGGUCUCCGUGAGCAGGGCUCUUCUUGGGCCAAACCUGGAUCAUGAGGAGGAGGGAGAGAUGCUGAAUAUGACAUGUCAUUCAAAGUGCUGUCUGGAAAUUUGAGUUCGUUUCUUCAGUAGAGGCAGCACAGGUUAAUCAGACAAACCAGCCAUCAACAGGCUUCCUUUGAGGAGCUUGGUAAGAAUGGAAAACCCAGGGCUGAGGGGCUUACAGAGCUUACAGAGCAGCACAGUAUCAGGGGCCCAAGGCACCAGGAGCUCCUCUGGAAAUUGGCGGGAACAGCUGGAGCAAAGCCGAGGUGAUGGUACCCCUGGUGGCGGGACGGCAGCGACCCUCCAUGGUAUAAGGAGUGGUGAGACCCCAAGGGACAGUGUGCAAGGACUCUGAUGGCAGCAACACUCCUCUAGGAGCUGAUGAGAAAGGCCUGGAAUCCCAAGAUGCACCCCUGAGGUUCAACUCCUACCCUGAUCAUCUCCUCCAAGAUUCUGUGACCUGGGGAAGUCAACAGUACAUUUCAACACCUAUGAUGUCAGCAUGUGAAUGACAUUCCAAUGCUGCUCAUGGGGUCACCCCUGCAAAGGUGAACUCAGUGGAAAGACCUUGCCAAACCGGAAGGAAAACAGGAUACUUUUCUCCAAAAUACUCAUUCAAUAAAUAUUUGCUUAGGCAUUACAAAGACAAAUAAGACUUGCCCCUACCUGUUAGAGGUAUGUAUGUCGAGAAAAGGAAGGAGUGAUUCAAUAAGAGAAACAGCAUUCAGGGAAGAGAAAGAAGGAAGACAUAAAAAUUCAGGUCAUAUUAGAAUAAUAUAUAUAACAAUGAGUUUGGCUAUAUUUCAGAAUUUUCCCAAAAUAUUUCUUUCAAAUUUGAUUGACAUUCUAAACUAUUUAGCUUGAUAUAAAUGAGAUCUUUGUGUACCCUCAGCAGGAACUGCAUUUUAGCUGGUUUUAAAUCUCAACAAUCACUUUCCUGCCUUGGAGAAGGUAUGAACCAGGCUGUUUAUGUAGAAUCCAGGUGGGUUUGAGAGCAGCUUCAGCUGAAUGGAGAGUGACAGGGAGGCUGAGGAAGGGAGGGAGGGGACCCAUGGGCUGUCAUACCCGGGGACUUAGGAAGGCUCUUGCUCUUGCUGGAAGGGUUGCAAAUCCCUAAACCAAGUAAUCCCAUCCCUAAACCAAGUAAUCCCAUUAAAACAUGAAACAUCCAGAGUAAAAUUAAGUUUAGAAUACUAUUUGCAAAGCCAAACAUAGUCUUACCAUAGGAUCCAGGCAUCACACUCCUUGGUAUUUACCCAAAUGGGUUGGAAACUUCCAUAUAAAAAUCUGCACACAGGCCGGGUACGGUGGCUCACGCCUGUAAUCUCAGCACUUUGGGAGGCUGAGGCGGAUGGAUCACCUGAGGUCGGGAGUUCAAGACCAGCCUGACCAACAUGGAGAAACCCUAUCUCUGCUAAAAAUACAAAAUUAGCCAGGCGUGGUGGCACAUGCCUGUAAUACCAGCUACUCAAGGGGCUGAUGCAGGAGAAUUGCUUGAACCCAGGAGGCAGAGGUUGCGGUGAGCCGAGAUUGUGCCAUUGCACUCCAGCCUGGGCAACAAGAGUGAAACUCUGUCUCAUAAAAUAAAUAAAUAAAUAAAUAUAAACCUACACACAGGCCAGGCAGGGUGGCUCACCCUGUAAUCUCAGCACUUUGGGAGGCCGAGGCGGGUGGGGUGGAUCACGAGGUCAGGAGAUCAAGACCAACUUGGCCAAGACGGUGAAACCUCAUCUCUACUAAUAAUACAAAAAUUAGCUGGGCAUGGUGGCACAUGCCUGUAAUCCCAGCUACUCAGGAGGCUGAGACAGGAGAACCGCUUGAACCAGGGAGUCGGAAGUUGUGGUGAGCCGAGAUCACACCACUGCACUCCAGCCUGGUGACAGAGUGAGACUCUGUCUAAAAAAAAAACCUGCACACAAAUAUUCAUGGUAGCUUUAUUCAUACUUGCCAAAACCUGGAAGCAACCAAGAUGUCCUUCAAUAGGUGAAUGGGUAAAUAAACUGUGGUACAUCCAGACAAUGCAAUAUUAUUUGGUGAUUAAAAAAAAAGAAAUGAGUUAAAAUCUUGGAUUUCUUUUUUUUAAAUGAGUUAUAAAGCCACAGAAAGACCUUAAAUACAUAUUGUUAAGUGAAAGAAGCCAGCCUGCAAAGCUACAUCUAUACAUGACUGUAUGACAUUCUAGAAAAGGCAAAACUAUAGAGACAGUGAAAACAUCAGGGAUUGCCAGGGGUUAAGAGGGAAGGAAGGAUGAAAAGGCAGAGGACAGAGGAUUUUAAGGCCGGUGAAACAAUUCUAUAUCAUACCAGAAUGGUGGAUAUAUGGGCUGGGGCUCAGAAAACAAUACCCCCAAAUGAAUGCCUCAGAAGCAAAAGUUUCUCCUGCCCUCCCAUCCCUGACCUCAUUCUCCCCCAAGGUUAGCCAUAGAAACCAGAAGUCCUCUUUCCCAAGGUGGGUCAUAGAAACUUCCAAACCCCUUUUCCCCAAAGCCAGUCAUAAAACCUAAAAAUAUGACUCUAACUUCCACCCCCACCCCACCACCUUUCUGUGUAAAAAUGUGUCAUAAGGAAAUCAUCUAACCUGCCUUGUUUGGUUGUCGGUCGUAAGACCCCCAUUCGAGAGAGGGCCCUGCCCCGUACCCAGCAGGAAGCAAUGCUGCCCAGAGAGGCCACGAGGAAUCUAGACAGGGCUUGCUGGGGGGCCCCACUCACUCUAUGAGCAUUAGCUCAUUCCCUUUUUUGUCCAAUCACAUUUCUAAAUAUUUUGUUGCACCUAAGCUUAAAAGUGGGCAGAGUCCCCUGCAUCUCUGGGUCUUCGUUCUGAAGGCUCCCCUGUCAUGUAACACUAUGACCAAAUAGAUGUGUGUGCCUUUUCUCCUAUUCAUCUGCCUUUUGUCUGUUAAUUUUCAGUGAAACUUCAGAGGGUGAAGGGGAAGUUUUCCUUGGCCCCUACACGUGUCAUUACAAACCCAUAGAAUGUACAAUGCCAAGAGUGGACCUUAGUGCAAGCCAGGGACAUUAGUCAGUAAUAAUGUUCCACGCUGACGCACAAAUGAAAGUUAUUUUAUUUGUGUGAACAGGAGAGCUGACAUGGUCUGUAUUGAUAUCUCCUGGGCAGGGAGGUGGUGAGCACGGCCCCAGAAUUCUGAACUGCCAGGAGCCAGGCAGCUUUGCAUCCUGGAGCUUGGCCAAUUCAGCCGCCCAAGUUCUGGCCAUGGGUCUGCAGCCCCCUGGCCCUUGCCUGCAUAAGCAGGAGAUGAAUGAGAGGAAGCAGAACUCACACAGGAGGCAGGAGGAAGCCACCAGGAAGCUCACUGGCUCCAGGGGCAGCAGAUCUGGGAUGGGGUCCCAGUUCUCUCCUUCCUCAUUCAUGAAAUGGGGCAAUAACAGUACUUACUUCAUUGGAGGUUCUUGGAGGGAAUAAAAGAGAUAUUAGUUAAAGGCAUGGAGCACAGUCCCUGGCACACUGAAAAAGUUUCAUAAAUGUUACCAAUUAAUUGUUUGUAUUAUAUAAUGUCUUCCUGAUAGGUUUUUGGGAAGGAAUAAAUCAAAGGUGAGAAAAUAUAUACAAAAACCUGACUGAGCGAGAACAUAGCUUACACACAAGAAGUGGCAGCUUGGUGAGCACACUGCUAUGUCAUGUUGUGCCUAGUCAUGACAUAGCCAAGGACUGAUACAGGCGCUCCCAUAACCCAUGGAUGGAUUCCUGCUGGACUCUAUUCAUGAAGGUUCUGAUUCUAAUUUUUUUAAAUCCAUGGAUAAAACAGCUACCAGAAAAUCCCAUUUGGGUUUGCAUGUUGUUCUUUGGCUUCGGUGGACAGCAAUCAUAUCAGUUGCAUUUCCCGAGCUAGAGCUCUGAGGCUUAGUCAUCCCCCUCCCUGGCUGGCUUCCAUGCUGUCUGCAGUGGGAGCAUCUUUUAUGAGAUGACAGGAGGGGACUUCAUGGAUGUGCAGCCUGGGCUGCUGGUACUGCCGGGGCUGCUGGUACUGCUGGGACUGCAGGAGAGGGAUGGUUUCUAUUAAUCCUCACAAUGGGAGGGUCCAGUGGGCUGUCACAGCACAGGCAGGGAAUCACAGGCCUCCCUGGGUGACCAGCUGUCCUGGCUGCUACCAGAUUCGGACUCCAGCAGGCUUUCCCUGGGGGCAGAGAUGACCUUGAUCUCUGGGCAGCUAGGCUUCAUGUCCUUGAUAUUUGUGGCCCUGCAUUGUUGGGGCACAGGAUGCAGAGCUGGGGAUGACUGAGCUUAAACUCCUGCUGCUAUGGAGGGCUGCCUCCUUGCCCUGAAUGCCCUGGGAGCCCUUUUAAAAACACAGGUCCAAGGAGUGAUAACAUGAGGGGCAGCACCUCUGGCCCCUGAGAGAGAAACUUGUCCAGUGAUAUGUGCACAAGCAACAUCUCCAGGCAUUCCUUCCAGACAAGGCAAGAGGCCCCCCAGGUGUGAUAUGUUAGCUACACAUGGGCUUGGUCUGUACUGCAAAUGUGUACUCAGUGAUGGGGCCAUUAGAUAUUUGGUUUCUACAUUGCUGCGAUGAAAAUUUACAAAGAACGUUCAUGGGGAAACCAGCUCCCAUCCAUGGGCAGCAGAGGAAUGUUGUCCAAGACUUACAUGGACAGGUAAGACUAAGGUCUCAUCCCAUACUCAGCAGUUCUGUGACCUUUUACAGAACAUAGGGAGGCAAGAAGGGAAAUGAGCCUUAGUUAGCCUCAGGGAGAACCAAGCCAGGUCUGUUUAGGGUCACCACCUUCACUGAACUGCCCUCCACUGGAGGCUAGGAACUGCAGGACAUGAGUUCAACAUCAAAAUAGUAAAAAUAGUGGCAAAUGUUUAGCAGUGUUUGCAACAUAUCAGGUGUCACAGCAACCUCUGCAGGAGAGGUGAGCAGGGCUAAUAUUUAGCAGGUGCACCCUUGUACUGGCUGCCUGCCAUUUAAUAGGUUAGUGCCUCAGCUGGUUAUUGAAUAUUUUCAACAUCGGCCCUGGGUACUAAGAUUAGUUCCCAUUUUACUGAUUAGGAAAUCGAGGUUAAGAGAGGGUAGGCGAUUUGCCUGAGAUCACACAGCCUCGUGUGUGGCAGAGCCUUAGAUUCCAAGCCAGGCUGUCCGAUGCCAGACCUUCACAGCUAUCCUAUGCUUCCACGGCACCCCGGACUUCCCCUUGGAGCACUUGCCAGUGAAACAAACAUGCCCUGGAGAAAUGCCUGGGUGAGUGUGCCUUCUUCCUUGCACAGAGACGGGCCUCUUGCACCCUCUACUUUCCUACUGUGGCUGGGGUGAGGUGGCGGGUAGAAGGGCGUGGGUUGUAGCUCACUGUCUUCUUCAGGAGUCCCACAGUGGGUAGGAGCACCAGCUGUUCAACAAGAGAAGACCAUUAGGCUUCAGGAGGGAGAGGAAGUUUUUUUGGGAAUGAGAGGACCAAGAGAAAUGAGGCACAGGGGAGAUCGGCCCCAAGGCUUGUCCUGAAAAAAGAACAUCAUCUUCUUCUAAGGUCCCGAGCGUGGGAUUUAUCUGACACAUUCUUCCACAUGCUUAUUGCAGGAGGAGCGUUGUGUUAAGUGCUUUGCAUGCAUUAAUUAUCUCAUUUAAACCAAAACCAACCCAGUGUGGCUGAGUGACUAUAUGAUGUCCAUUUUACAGAUGAGGAAAGGGAGGCUGAGAGAGCUUAAAGGACACACCACUUUUGAGUGGCAGAGCUAGGAUGCAAACCAGACCUGACUGCUGUUAAAGCUUGUGAUGUUUGUAGUCAUUCUUCUAUACUGUACCCUCAUAGGAAGUUCAAAAACAGAGAGGGUGGGAUUUGGUCUUUGGCUUUUGUUUAAAUGUAUGUUUUUAUAGAUAUAUUUCCUUAGCCCAUGCUAUGAACCAGGAGUUUCCAUUUGUUUAUUUAACUGAUUUAUUAAGCCUUUUUAGGGGCCAGCCCAGGUUCUGGGCACAAGCUGGAGAAGGAGAGCUGCUGCGGUCCCUAACUCAUGCCUCUUGCGGCAGUGGGUGGGUGUGAAGAGGGAGGAGGGGAGGAGGUGGUGAGAAGUCUGCUUCACAUUAUUCAGAGUUUCCUGUGAGCCAGGCACUGUGCCUGGGGCUAAGUGAUUAUAUCAUUUAGCCCUCCCAAUAGACUCUCAGGUAGACGCUCUCUUAUUUCCACUUUUUCCCAUUUACAGAUGGGGAAAUGAAGACUUAAGAAACUUAGGUAAUCUGCCCAAAGGCUUAUAGCCAAUACAUGGUAAAGCUGAGAUGUGAACUCAAGUAUCUGACUCCAAAGCCUGGGUUUUUUCUCUUUCUCUCUCUCUUUUUUUUUUUUUUUUGAGACAGGGUCUCACUCCUUCACCCAGUCUGGAGUGCAGUGACAUGGUCAUAACUCACUGUAACCUCAAACUCCUGGGCUCAAGUGAUCCUCCUUUCUCAGCCUCCUGAGUAGCUGGGACUACAGGCACACACUUUUAUGCCUGGAUAAUUUUUGUACUUUUUUUGUAGACAGGGUCUUACUGUGUUGCCCAGGCUGGUCUGGAACUCCUAGGCUAAAAUGAUCCUCCUGCCUCAGCCUCCCAAAUUGCUGGGAUUACAGGUGUGAGCCACUGUGCCCGGUCAAAGCCUGUGCUUUGAUUUGCCACCUAAUCCUCCUCCGUUUUAUAUGUAAUGUUAACCCCAAACCUGCAGGGUAGCCGUUAUCAGCCUCAUUUAACUGACAGGGAAGCCCAGUCUCAGAGGGGCCAGAUGCGUGCCCAAGGCCUUGCUGGGAAGAAUGGGAUUCUGGGCCCAGGCAUUCCAGCGCCAAGUCCAGGGCGUGAUUGUUACUCUGCAGUCCCUCUCUGUGACAAGAGCCUCACCGGGAACUCGGGGGUGGGGGCUCCCCCAAGCCUCCUGGCUGGACCCCAUUCCAAGCGUUAGUGUAACAGAUGUUGUGUGGCGGGAGUCUGUUGUGCUCCUGGUGUGUGGCUGGGAUUCAGAGGUGUCUUCAAGCGCUCUAGGAAGCCGGCGGGCGGGGCCAUGGCCGCAGAAGUGAGUGCAGGGAUGGAGAAUACAGGGAGUCCCUUGACCGGAGGAGACUUUGGAGGCAUUUGUGCUGUUCGCGUGAACUCCGCGUCCAUGGCCUACCCUGUGAUUGUCAUCAUUUCUAUGUGAGAAAAAAGCGGCUACUGAUUCACAGCGAAAGGAAACGGACUAGGUUCUGAAACUUCCUGUUUGUCUGGUAUCUGCAAAGAUAUGUGUGUUAUGCAAAUACCCUGACUCCCCAGAACUGCAGGUGUGUACAAACACACACACGCACGCACACACACACACACACACACACACACACACACACCCUCUGCUUGGCCCCAUGCAGUGGGUCUCCUCUGUACCCAGUAAACUGAAACAUGACUCUACUAACAUGGUAGCCAGGACACUGGGGACUCUGCUGUCGGAAUCCCUGAUCAUAGAGACAGCAGCUUUGGCCUUCGGCUCAAAGAGCUUCACAGAUGUCCCUUGUAGGCGAGUCCUGGCUCUGGCUCCUGGCCCACUGCAGAGCCUGGGAGUGAGGCAGGCAGAUAGGCGAGGGGGUCUCACCCAGGCCCAGGAACUCCAUUUUCUCUCAGCCCCAUUCCUCCCUCCCUCGGCUCCCUGACCGUGCUGAACGCAGCUCCCAAGCAGGGGGAGAGUCCAGAUAAUGGCAGAUGUUGAUUGUUUCCUGUUGGUUCACUGUGUCCUUUUGGCAGGCCUUUCUUUCUUUCAAAAUAUAUUCAGGUUUGAGCCUAGCACUGCAGCUUGCUGAGUGGGUCUAUGCUUCCAUAGAGCAGUGGCUUCGGGCACAGGCCUGAGACCCAGCCUGCCUGCGGGCUGCUAGCUGCCAGCUACCUCUGCACUAGGAAGGUUUUUAAACAGCUGAAUGCAAGCUUCAGCGUUAAUAGGUGAAAGUGAAAAUGACAUGUGACUUCUAGACAAUUCUCAUAGAUUCAAAAUAAUUGUUCUCUGUAAUGAGUAAAAUAACACUCUUGCAACAGCUGAAUGCUUUUCUCAUAUUCUGAGUUGCCCGAAUUAGGGGAAAUGGGUCUAAAUGGCUGCAAGAGGCAGUUUUGUCAGCUAGACGUCUUUUUACAAGUAUAUUGCAUCCUUCAGUCUCUUCCUGCCCCACCCUAAGACCCUCACCUGGGAAAUGGGAGGAUGGCUUGGAAGGCAAUUGUCAGGCCUCUGAGCCCAAGCUAAGCCAUCAUAUCCCCUGUGACCUGUACAUACACAUCCAGAUGGCCCGGUUCCUGCCUUAACUGAUGACAUUCCACCACAAAAGAAGUGAAAAUGGCCUGUUCCUGCCUUAACUGAUGACAUUACCUUGUGAAAUUCCUUCUCCUGGCUCAUCCUGGCUCAAAAGCUCCCCCGCUGAGCACCUUGUGACCCCCACCCCUGCCCGCCAGAAAACAACCCCUUUGACUGUAAUUUUCCUUUACCUACCCAAAUCCUAUAAAACAGCCCCACCCCUAUCUCCCUUCGCUGACUCUCUUUUCGGACUCAGCCCGCCUGCACCCAAGUGAAAUAAACAGCCUUGUUGCUCACACAAAGCCUGUUUGGUGGUCUCUUCACACGGACGUGCGUGAAAGCGAUGAAGCUGAGGUUGCAGGAAAGGAGUGAUCACCUGGCUCAGAGCUGGGCCCUAAAAGUCUAGGCCAGAGCCUCCCUGUUGUGAAAGGGAGUGGAAGGAGAAGGGGCUGGGAUGGGUCAAACUGGGUGGAAAGCUAGGCUCUGCUGUUUAGAAGCUGUAUGAUCUUGAGCAAGUUGCUUAACCCUUGCUAAGCCUCAGUUUCCCUUCCUGCAGAAAGGGAUUAUCAUGGGGACGAAAGGGGAUCCAGAACCUGGAGUGGAGGAUAGGGUGGGUAAGUGGAAGGUGUCAUGAGGACAACAUAUGCUGAGACACUCACCACCCUUUCUGAGGGCGCCUCAGCAGCAGGUCACAUGGUGCCUGAAACUCGUUUUUCUGAGUUGUGCUGGUUUGUGGAAUGAAAAGGGAAGCCAGGCUUCCUUCUUACUAGCUCUGACUGCCUUGUUUUAAGGAUCAUUCACCUUCCCUAAGGAUGGGAUAAAGCCUUCCUGUAGAGCAGACCGAUCUCCUUCUUUAUCCCUACAGUUCUCCCACCGUGGCCAUGGCCUUGGGGGCUGUUCUGACUCUUACAUUUAUAUAUCACUCCUACUUUCCCAGCCAGCAGGAUAGAAAACCUGAGAAGGGAAUUCUGCCUUAUAAACAUUUCUUACAGAUGGGGCAGACAGGUUGUUUCUUUUUUACCAAGGAAGCUCAGGGCAAUUCUGGUUGCAGGAAUGUUAAGCACUGAUAAAGAAGAGAAGAAAAAAUAUUCACCCUCCAGGGCCUGGAAUUUCCCCAUUCCUGAGCCCUGGCUUCCCUGUCUGAGAUAGAGACUGUCAGUCAGUCACCUACCAAUUCCCAAUUUCUCUUUCUGCUUUACUAAAAGUACUUGAUUUGGGAUGGGGGUGGGGGGUGGCAGGCAGCAAUACAUCCAAGUAAAAGACUGUACUUCCCAAAUCUCUUGAAACUAGGGACAGCCAAUGAGGUAUAAAUGAAAAUUAUUGGGGCUGGGGUCCCAAAAGCUUCUCUCUCUUUUUUGAGACAGAGUCUCAGUUUGUCAUCUAGGCUGGAGUGCAGCAGCAGGAUCACAGCUGUAAAAUCAAAAGUGUCAAAGACAGGUCUCAAUCAAUUUAGAAAGUUCAUUUUGCCAAAGUUAAGAGCACACCUUUAACCUCAGGUGAUCCUGACAGCAUGUACCCAAGGUGGUUGGUGCCCAACUUGGUUUUAUACAUUUUAGGGAGCAUAAGGCAUCAAUCAAUAUGUGUAAGAUGUACAUUGGUUUGGUCUGGAAAGGUGGGACAACUGAAAGGUGGGACUUCCAAGUCAUAGGUGGAUUCAAAGAUUUUCUGAUUGGCAAUUGGUUGAAAGAGUUAUUAUCGAUAGAAAAGAAUGUCUGGGUUAUGAUGAGGGGUUUUGAAGGGAGGAGGGUAGAAUGAGGCAUGUCUGACUCCCCCUUCCCAUCAUGGCCUGAACUAGUUUUUCAGGUUAACUUUGGAAUGCCCUUGGCUAAGAGGAAGGGUCCAUUCAGAUGGUUGGCGGGGGGGCCUUAGAAUUUUAUUGUUGGUUUACGUGGCUCAGUGCAGCCUUCACCUCCUGGGCUCAAGUGAUCCUUCCAUCUCAGCCUCUUGAGUAGCUGUGGCCACAGGUGCAUGCCACCAUGCCUGGCUAACUUUUUUUUUUGGUAGAUAUGGGGUCUUGCCAUGUUGCCCAGGCUGGUUUUGAAUUCCUAAGCUCAAGUUAUCCUCCUGUUACAGGAAAGGGGUCCUGAUCCAGAUCCCAAGAGAGAGUUCUUGGAUCUCACACAAGAAAGAAUUCGAGGUGAAUCCAUAGAGUAAAGUGAAAGCAAGUUUAUUAGGAAAGUAAAGAAAUAAAAGAAUGGCUACUCCAUAGGCACAGCAGCUUCCAGGGCUGCUGGCUGCCCAUUUUUAUGGUUAUUUCUUGAUUAUAUGCUAAUUAUUUAGUGUUUGCAAAAAUAGCCAGGCUAUAAGGGGUGGAUUAUUCAUGAGUUUUGUGGAAAAGGGGUGGGCAAUUCCCAGAGCUGAGGGUUCCUCCCAUUUUUAGACCAUAUAGGGUAACUGCCAGAUCUUACCAUGGCAUCUGUAAACUGCCAUGGUGCUGAUGAGAGUGUCUUUUAGCAUGCUAAGGCAUUAUAAUUAGCAUAUAAUGAGCAGUGAGGACAAUCAGAGAUCACUCUUAUCACUAUCUUGCUUUUGGGGGGUUUUAACCAGCUUCUUUACAGCAGCCUGUUUUAUCAGCAAGGUCUUUGUGACCUGUUUCUUGUGCUGACCUCCUAUGUCAUCCUGUGACUUAGAAUGCCUACCCUUCUAGGAAUGCAGCCUAGUAGUUCUCAGUCUUAUUUUACCCAGCCCCUACUCAAGAUGGAGUCCCUCUGGUUCAAAUGCCUCUGACACUCCCACCUCAGCCUCCCAUAGUGCUGGAAUUACAGGCUUGAGCCACUGCACCUGGCCUUAAAAGCUUCUUAAAGGGAUCUAAGAAAUUGACUCUCCCCACCCUCUUUCUUAACCGUAAAACACUAAUGUAAUGGCUGGAGUUCUAGCAACCAUAUUGGGCCAUGAGGCAACCUUGAAAAAGGAAGCCACAAACUAAAACAUU
RNAcentral lists this long non-coding RNA (14814 nucleotides) under Homo sapiens (human). Its description in RNAcentral is "HSALNT0348674". Lineage: Eukaryota; Metazoa; Chordata; Mammalia; Primates; Hominidae. The record is from RNAcentral.